GCGCGUGUAGUUUAAGGGUAAAAUCCAUUGUUCCCAUUUAGGAUUCCAAUGGGCUCCGGGUUCGAGUCCCGGCGCGCGCA
Magnaporthiopsis poae ATCC 64411 is the source of this 80-nucleotide non-coding RNA. The record is from the annotation of a GenBank genome assembly. NCBI's taxonomy places the organism in Eukaryota, Fungi, Ascomycota, Sordariomycetes, Magnaporthales, Magnaporthaceae.